CAUGCAAGUCGAACGAUGAUGCCCAGCUUGCUGGGCGGAUUAGUGGCGAACGGGUGAGUAAUACGUGAGUAACCUGCCCCUGACUCUGGGAUAAGCCUGGGAAACCGGGUCUAAUACUGGAUACGACCUUCCACCGCAUGGUGGGGGGUGGAAAGGGUUUACUGGUUUUGGAUGGGCUCACGGCCUAUCAGCUUGUUGGUGGGGUAAUGGCUCACCAAGGCGACGACGGGUAGCCGGCCUGAGAGGGUGACCGGCCACACUGGGACUGAGACACGGCCCAGACUCCUACGGGAGGCAGCAGUGGGGAA
RNAcentral lists this ribosomal RNA (308 nucleotides) under Kocuria rosea subsp. polaris. Its description in RNAcentral is "bacterial SSU rRNA". It matches the Rfam family "Bacterial small subunit ribosomal RNA", at positions 54 to 361 of the family's 1533-position model. Lineage: Bacteria; Bacillati; Actinomycetota; Actinomycetes; Micrococcales; Micrococcaceae. The record is from RNAcentral.